Long non-coding RNA from Carassius carassius (crucian carp), 849 nucleotides. RefSeq lists it as uncharacterized. The record is from RefSeq and is a predicted model, not a curated record. NCBI's taxonomy places the organism in Eukaryota, Metazoa, Chordata, Actinopteri, Cypriniformes, Cyprinidae. The transcript has 3 exons.
UUAAUAAGUAGCAUUGCAUUUUUCCAACAUUUAUUAAUUGUAUUUUCAAAUUUCAUGUCAUUACACAGUUGUAAUUUUGCACUGUUAAUUAUUUAAUUUGAUUGGUGGUACAGUUCUACAAUGUAAUAUUACAAUUUAUAAUUAUAAAUUAUAUAAUUUAUAAUAGUUUGUUUAUUCUAAAAUAUAUGCCUUUUUGGGUGUUAAUUUUGGUCUCAUUUACAGUACAUAAUGCUUUAAAGAAAUCACAAGAUUAUUUUCUUUAUGUCUUGUAGGUGCAAAGAAUAGCAGCUGAUGUGGAGAAAUGUUCGAUGCUUCAAGACUCUGAAGCUGAUUUUAUUAGGUCCACCCAGUGGCUUUUGACUAUUUGAGGGUCAGAUGGUUGUGAAUUCAUACCUCAACAUUGUGCGUCCCGGGAGCAGGCAUCUUUUGCACACAUUAAUUUUUUCAAAGAUGUUUUCUUGGAAUCACAACACUCACUGGAUACAAGACGGACACAUAGAGGCAAAACAAGUGGAAAAGUCUCAGAAGAGGGACAACCCUCAUGUGUGUGCUCAUCUCAGAAAGUUGAUUGACUUUCAGUAUGUAUUUAUUAAAUUGUCUUUUGCAGGAAUAUUCUUAAUUUAAUAGAACAUAAGCUCAAACAACAGAAUUUGUGAUUUAAUGUUGAUUCCAGCCUUUUAUUUUAAUCCUUUUCUUUAAAACAUAUAUUUUUUUAACAAAAUUAUACAAAUUCUGUUGAUUGACCUUCAUUUUUAUAGAACGUUAAUGUUGUACUCUGAAUAGGGCUUUUUUAAAAACUGUUAUUUGUGAUGCUAUGCUAUUUUUAUGAUAAGAUUUAACUGUUGAAAG